Molecule: ribosomal RNA, 433 nt
Filed under: uncultured bacterium
Lineage: Bacteria
Description: partial 16S ribosomal RNA
Rfam family: Bacterial small subunit ribosomal RNA
Source: RNAcentral
AACGAACGCUGGCGGCAUGCCUAACACAUGCAAGUCGAACGAGACCUUCGGGUCUAGUGGCGCACGGGUGCGUAACGCGUGGGAACUUGCCCUUAGGUUCGGUAUAAUUCCCCGAAAGGGGUGCUAAUACCGGAUAAUGUCAUCGGCCCAAAGAUUUAUCGCCUUUGGAUGUGCCUGCGUUGGAUUAGCUAGUUGGUAGGGUAAAAGCCUACCAAGGCGACGAUCCAUAGCUGGUCUGAGAGGAUGAUCAGCCACACUGGGACUGAGACACGGCCCAGACUCCUACGGGAGGCAGCAGUGGGGAGUAUUGGACAAUGGGCGAAAGCCUGAUCCAGCAAUGCCGCGUGAGUGAUGAAGGCCUUAGGGUUGUAAAGCUCUUUUACCCGGGAUGAUAAUGACAGUACCGGGAGAAUAAGCGCCGGCUAACUCCGUG